AAUGUAGGCUGUUAUGUAAGUCAGUGGUGAAAUCCCUCGGCUCAACCGGGGAACUGCCUUUGAUACUGCAUAACUUGAGGACAGGAGAGGAAAGUGGAAUUCCCGGUGUAGCGGUGGAAUGCGUAGAUAUUGGGAGGAACACCAGAGGCGAAGGCGGCUUUCUGGACUGAUCCUGACGCUGAGAUUCGAAAGCUAGGGUAGCAAACA
RNAcentral lists this ribosomal RNA (207 nucleotides) under uncultured bacterium. Its description in RNAcentral is "partial 16S ribosomal RNA". It matches the Rfam family "Bacterial small subunit ribosomal RNA", at positions 568 to 774 of the family's 1533-position model. The record is from RNAcentral.